Molecule: ribosomal RNA, 498 nt
Filed under: uncultured bacterium
Lineage: Bacteria
Description: bacterial SSU rRNA
Rfam family: Bacterial small subunit ribosomal RNA
Source: RNAcentral
AGAGUUUGAUCCGGGCUCAGAUUGAACGCGGGGGGCAUGCCUUACACAUGCAAGUGGAACGGCAGCACGGGAGCAAUCCUGGUGGCGAGUGGCGAACGGGUGAGUAAUAUAUCGGAAUUUGCCCACUCCUCGGCGAUAACGUAGAGAAAUUUACGCUAAUACCGCAUACGAUCUAAGGAUGAAAGCGGGGGACUGCCAAGGGCCUCGCGCGAUUGGAGCGGCUGAUAUCAGAUUAGGUUGUUGGGGAGGUAAAAGCUCACCAAGCCGACGAUCUGUAGCUGGUUUGAGAGAACGACCAGCCACACUGGGACUGAGACACGGCCCAGACUCCUACGGGAGGCAGCAGUGGGGAAUUUUGGCCAAUGGGGGAAAGCCUGAUCCACCAAUGCCGCGUGCAGGAAGAAGCCCUUGGGGUUGUAAACUGCUUUUGUACGGAAGGAAACGGUCUGCCCUAAUACGGGGGGCUAAUGAGGGUACGGUAAGAAUAAGCACCGGCUA